CAACCUCUCUUACAACUUAAAUCUAAUUCAAAACAUAAUGAUUCUACUUUAUUUCUUUGGAUCCUGAUGUGAUUCUAAUUUUCAAAAAAUAAAGUUGGUGCAAUUAAACCUAUUAGCUAGCCAGAUCAACCAAGUUAUAAUUUAAGGAAAAAAAAAAGUAAAAUAAAUUUAUUUUCUCCUGGACUAAUCGGGCCCAGUUCAGUACAACGUGCCUUUAGAAAGGAGAGGUUGCGGUGGAAAAUGGCCAGAAGUAUUAAGACUUGCAUGACUCUAUGGUCUGUAUCCCAAAAAGUGGGGAACUCUUUGUCGUUCCCUUCUUACCUUUAAUUUUAUCAAACACCUCUUCAGAAUCUUUGUGCCACAAUAUCUUUUAUAUUCUGAGAAAUCAUAAUGAGUGUUGUGCUCGUGUCUAAGCUUUUCUGAAUAUAUGCAUCCACCUCCUAAAGC
Molecule: long non-coding RNA, 447 nt
Filed under: Glycine max (soybean)
Lineage: Eukaryota; Viridiplantae; Streptophyta; Magnoliopsida; Fabales; Fabaceae
Description: long non-coding RNA (GMAX_LNC004582)
Source: RNAcentral